Molecule: transfer RNA, 70 nt
Filed under: Marmota marmota marmota (Alpine marmot)
Lineage: Eukaryota; Metazoa; Chordata; Mammalia; Rodentia; Sciuridae
Also listed under: 1 other name
Rfam family: tRNA
About the family: Transfer RNA (tRNA) molecules are approximately 80 nucleotides in length.
Source: Rfam by way of RNAcentral
CGAGAUGGAGCUCAGUGGUAGAGUGUGUGCUUAGCAGCACGAGGCUUGGGUUCGAACCCCAGAAUCUCCA